Molecule: non-coding RNA, 72 nt
Organism: Podospora didyma
Lineage: Eukaryota; Fungi; Ascomycota; Sordariomycetes; Sordariales; Podosporaceae
Source: the annotation of a GenBank genome assembly
GCAUCAAUGGUGUAGUGGUUAGCAUUCAAGCCUUCCAAGCUUGAGAGGGGGGUUCGAUUCCCCCUUGAUGCA